Sarcophilus harrisii (Tasmanian devil) is the source of this 557-nucleotide long non-coding RNA. RefSeq lists it as uncharacterized. NCBI's taxonomy places the organism in Eukaryota, Metazoa, Chordata, Mammalia, Dasyuromorphia, Dasyuridae. The record is from RefSeq and is a predicted model, not a curated record. The transcript has 3 exons.
GUGUAAUACCUUCCAUGCUGAUGGAUUUAUGUAUACCUGUUUCAAGUAAGACUCUUCAGUCCAGAGGAACUCUGAUAGACAAUUUGGCCUGGUCAUUGGAUCAGGGAAUACCUUCUAUUUGCUGUCACAGUCAGCAUAGCCUAACUUUGCACAUGUGUGAGAGGGGUGCCAUAUAGACUGCUGCAUGACCCUGAAAACAACCCAGUGAGACAACUUAGACAGGAGCAACGAAACAGAGAAAUUCAAACUCAGAGACAAAGAAUCAGGAAGAAACAAAGAUAGAGAGAAAGACAGAGAGGAACACAGAAAUGGUGGCAGAAACAAAAAAAGGCAGAGAAACAGAGAGCAAUGGAAAUACAGAGAGCAAUGGAAAUACAGAGAGAAACUAAAAGAGACAAAAGCAGAAAAGUUGGCCACUGAGUGUGAUUUUUUUCAUGACAACUCAUGAAAUCAGUUUUCAAUGGGAUGUGGGAGGGGAGGGUGGAAUAAGCCUUGCUAUUCCAAUAAAGGCAUAUAUCCUUUAAAUAAUGAAAGAAAUAUAACUGCACAAACUUCAU